CCCUUAGACGUUCUGGGCCGCACGCGAGCUACACUGACCAGUGCAACAAGCAUCCGUCCUUGGCCGACAGGCCCGGGCAAUCUUUGAACGCUGGUCGUGAUGGGGAUAGACUUUUGCAAUUUUUGGUCUUCAACGAGGAAUUCCUAGUAAACGCAAGUCAUCAACUUGCAUUGAUUACGUCCCUGCCCUUUGUACACACCGCCCGUCGCACCUACCGAUUGAAUGGUCCGGUGAAGCCUCCGGAUUGGCGCGCACCUCGGUGCCGCCGAGAAGUUGGCUAAACCUUACCAUUUAGAGGAAGGUGAAGUCGUAACA
RNAcentral lists this ribosomal RNA (315 nucleotides) under uncultured eukaryote. Its description in RNAcentral is "partial 18S ribosomal RNA". It matches the Rfam family "Eukaryotic small subunit ribosomal RNA", at positions 1470 to 1796 of the family's 1831-position model. The record is from RNAcentral.